Molecule: ribosomal RNA, 2927 nt
Filed under: Escherichia coli
Lineage: Bacteria; Pseudomonadati; Pseudomonadota; Gammaproteobacteria; Enterobacterales; Enterobacteriaceae
Description: bacterial LSU rRNA
Rfam family: Bacterial large subunit ribosomal RNA
Source: RNAcentral
GGGUUGUGAGGUUAAGCGACUAAGCGUACACGGUGGAUGCCCUGGCAGUCAGAGGCGAUGAAGGACGUGCUAAUCUGCGAUAAGCGUCGGUAAGGUGAUAUGAACCGUUAUAACCGGCGAUUUCCGAAUGGGGAAACCCAGUGUGUUUCGACACACUAUCAUUAACUGAAUCCAUAGGUUAAUGAGGCGAACCGGGGGAACUGAAACAUCUAAGUACCCCGAGGAAAAGAAAUCAACCGAGAUUCCCCCAGUAGCGGCGAGCGAACGGGGAGCAGCCCAGAGCCUGAAUCAGUAUGUGUGUUAGUGGAAGCGUCUGGAAAGGCGCGCGAUACAGGGUGACAGCCCCGUACACAAAAAUGCACAUAUUGUGAGCUCGAUGAGUAGGGCGGGACACGUGGUAUCCUGUCUGAAUAUGGGGGGACCAUCCUCCAAGGCUAAAUACUCCUGACUGACCGAUAGUGAACCAGUACCGUGAGGGAAAGGCGAAAAGAACCCCGGCGAGGGGAGUGAAAAAGAACCUGAAACCGUGUACGUACAAGCAGUGGGAGCACGCUUAGGCGUGUGACUGCGUACCUUUUGUAUAAUGGGUCAGCGACUUAUAUUCUGUAGCAAGGUUAACCGAAUAGGGGAGCCGAAGGGAAACCGAGUCUUAACUGGGCGUUAAGUUGCAGGGUAUAGACCCGAAACCCGGUGAUCUAGCCAUGGGCAGGUUGAAGGUUGGGUAACACUAACUGGAGGACCGAACCGACUAAUGUUGAAAAAUUAGCGGAUGACUUGUGGCUGGGGGUGAAAGGCCAAUCAAACCGGGAGAUAGCUGGUUCUCCCCGAAAGCUAUUUAGGUAGCGCCUCGUGAAUUCAUCUCCGGGGGUAGAGCACUGUUUCGGCAAGGGGGUCAUCCCGACUUACCAACCCGAUGCAAACUGCGAAUACCGGAGAAUGUUAUCACGGGAGACACACGGCGGGUGCUAACGUCCGUCGUGAAGAGGGAAACAACCCAGACCGCCAGCUAAGGUCCCAAAGUCAUGGUUAAGUGGGAAACGAUGUGGGAAGGCCCAGACAGCCAGGAUGUUGGCUUAGAAGCAGCCAUCAUUUAAAGAAAGCGUAAUAGCUCACUGGUCGAGUCGGCCUGCGCGGAAGAUGUAACGGGGCUAAACCAUGCACCGAAGCUGCGGCAGCGACGCUUAUGCGUUGUUGGGUAGGGGAGCGUUCUGUAAGCCUGCGAAGGUGUGCUGUGAGGCAUGCUGGAGGUAUCAGAAGUGCGAAUGCUGACAUAAGUAACGAUAAAGCGGGUGAAAAGCCCGCUCGCCGGAAGACCAAGGGUUCCUGUCCAACGUUAAUCGGGGCAGGGUGAGUCGACCCCUAAGGCGAGGCCGAAAGGCGUAGUCGAUGGGAAACAGGUUAAUAUUCCUGUACUUGGUGUUACUGCGAAGGGGGGACGGAGAAGGCUAUGUUGGCCGGGCGACGGUUGUCCCGGUUUAAGCGUGUAGGCUGGUUUUCCAGGCAAAUCCGGAAAAUCAAGGCUGAGGCGUGAUGACGAGGCACUACGGUGCUGAAGCAACAAAUGCCCUGCUUCCAGGAAAAGCCUCUAAGCAUCAGGUAACAUCAAAUCGUACCCCAAACCGACACAGGUGGUCAGGUAGAGAAUACCAAGGCGCUUGAGAGAACUCGGGUGAAGGAACUAGGCAAAAUGGUGCCGUAACUUCGGGAGAAGGCACGCUGAUAUGUAGGUGAAGUCCCUCGCGGAUGGAGCUGAAAUCAGUCGAAGAUACCAGCUGGCUGCAACUGUUUAUUAAAAACACAGCACUGUGCAAACACGAAAGUGGACGUAUACGGUGUGACGCCUGCCCGGUGCCGGAAGGUUAAUUGAUGGGGUUAGCCGCAAGGCGAAGCUCUUGAUCGAAGCCCCGGUAAACGGCGGCCGUAACUAUAACGGUCCUAAGGUAGCGAAAUUCCUUGUCGGGUAAGUUCCGACCUGCACGAAUGGCGUAAUGAUGGCCAGGCUGUCUCCACCCGAGACUCAGUGAAAUUGAACUCGCUGUGAAGAUGCAGUGUACCCGCGGCAAGACGGAAAGACCCCGUGAACCUUUACUAUAGCUUGACACUGAACAUUGAGCCUUGAUGUGUAGGAUAGGUGGGAGGCUUUGAAGUGUGGACGCCAGUCUGCAUGGAGCCGACCUUGAAAUACCACCCUUUAAUGUUUGAUGUUCUAACGUUGACCCGUAAUCCGGGUUGCGGACAGUGUCUGGUGGGUAGUUUGACUGGGGCGGUCUCCUCCUAAAGAGUAACGGAGGAGCACGAAGGUUGGCUAAUCCUGGUCGGACAUCAGGAGGUUAGUGCAAUGGCAUAAGCCAGCUUGACUGCGAGCGUGACGGCGCGAGCAGGUGCGAAAGCAGGUCAUAGUGAUCCGGUGGUUCUGAAUGGAAGGGCCAUCGCUCAACGGAUAAAAGGUACUCCGGGGAUAACAGGCUGAUACCGCCCAAGAGUUCAUAUCGACGGCGGUGUUUGGCACCUCGAUGUCGGCUCAUCACAUCCUGGGGCUGAAGUAGGUCCCAAGGGUAUGGCUGUUCGCCAUUUAAAGUGGUACGCGAGCUGGGUUUAGAACGUCGUGAGACAGUUCGGUCCCUAUCUGCCGUGGGCGCUGGAGAACUGAGGGGGGCUGCUCCUAGUACGAGAGGACCGGAGUGGACGCAUCACUGGUGUUCGGGUUGUCAUGCCAAUGGCACUGCCCGGUAGCUAAAUGCGGAAGAGAUAAGUGCUGAAAGCAUCUAAGCACGAAACUUGCCCCGAGAUGAGUUCUCCCUGACCCUUUAAGGGUCCUGAAGGAACGUUGAAGACGACGACGUUGAUAGGCCGGGUGUGUAAGCGCAGCGAUGCGUUGAGCUAACCGGUACUAAUGAACCGUGAGGCUUAACCUUACAACGCCGAAG